RNAcentral lists this ribosomal RNA (414 nucleotides) under Escherichia coli. Its description in RNAcentral is "partial 23S ribosomal RNA". It matches the Rfam family "Bacterial large subunit ribosomal RNA", at positions 1 to 455 of the family's 2925-position model. The record is from RNAcentral. Lineage: Bacteria; Pseudomonadati; Pseudomonadota; Gammaproteobacteria; Enterobacterales; Enterobacteriaceae.
GUUAAGCGACUAAGCGUACACGGUGGAUGCCCUGGCAGUCAGAGGCGAUGAAGGACGUGCUAAUCUGCGAUAAGCGUCGGUAAGGUGAUAUGAACCGUUAUAACCGGCGAUUUCCGAAUGGGGAAACCCAGUGUGAUUCGUCACACUAUCAUUAACUGAAUCCAUAGGUUAAUGAGGCGAACCGGGGGAACUGAAACAUCUAAGUACCCCGAGGAAAAGAAAUCAACCGAGAUUCCCCCAGUAGCGGCGAGCGAACGGGGAGCAGCCCAGAGCCUGAAUCAGUGUGUGUGUUAGUGGAAGCGUCUGGAAAGGCGCGCGAUACAGGGUGACAGCCCCGUACACAAAAAUGCACAUACUGUGAGCUCGAUGAGUAGGGCGGGACACGUGGUAUCCUGUCUGAAUAUGGGGGGACCA